This 82-nucleotide transfer RNA is filed under the name Fulvimarina manganoxydans. RNAcentral describes it as "Rhizobiales bacterium 8.047 tRNA". It matches the Rfam family "tRNA". Rfam says of the family: Transfer RNA (tRNA) molecules are approximately 80 nucleotides in length. Their secondary structure includes four short double-helical elements and three loops (D, anti-codon, and T loops). The record is from Rfam by way of RNAcentral. Lineage: Bacteria; Pseudomonadati; Pseudomonadota; Alphaproteobacteria; Hyphomicrobiales; Aurantimonadaceae.
GCGGGCGUGGCGGAACCGGUAGACGCACGGCACUUAAAAUGCCGAGCCGCAAGGCGUGCGGGUUCGAGUCCCGCCGCCCGCA